Molecule: non-coding RNA, 1048 nt
Organism: Girardinichthys multiradiatus
Lineage: Eukaryota; Metazoa; Chordata; Actinopteri; Cyprinodontiformes; Goodeidae
Source: the annotation of a RefSeq genome assembly
UCCAUAGAGAGCUACUUUGCAUCAGCAGCACCAUGCUCCAGUGAUCUGGGAGAGUUUAUAGUCCUGAGAGUUGAACACUGGAUGACUGACAGCUGUCCUUCAUCACAACAGAAGACACAGAAAUCCUCCUCAUCAAAAACAUGACUUUGAUCUGCGUCCUCAUCUGGACUCUCCUCUGCUGCUGCUUCACAGAGUCCAAAAUCCAGGUCACAGUGACUCAGCCUGCAGCAGUGAGAGCUGAUCUAGGAGGAUCUGUCACCAUCAGCUGUAAAACUGGACAGAAUGUUUAUGUUUCGAGCACCAACCACCGUUUAGCCUGGUACCAACAGAAAGAUGGACAAACUCCUAAACUUCUCAUUUAUUAUGCUAGCACUCGAGAAUCAGGGACUCCAAGUCGUUUUACAGGCAGUGGAUCAAACUCUGACUUCACUCUGACCAUCAGUGGAGUUCAGGCUGAAGAUGCUGCAGUUUAUUACUGUAAGGGAGAAUUUGAUGUGAACAAGUAUGAGCUCCUCACACAGUGAAAAACAGUCAUACAAAAACCCCCCUCAGUGUGACUGAACAGAAACUCCAGCUGGAUGUUACAACAGACACUGACACAGCUCACUAAACACAGACACACACAGAAUAACAAUAAUUUCAAGCUGAUAUCCUUUCCUCACAAAUACAUUCACAUGAAUAGUGAACGUUUGAAUUUAUUGCUGGUUUUGCAGCAAGCGUUGGGUUAACUUUAAAGUUUGAAUAUUUUAAUACAACUGGAACAACAAUGCUAGUUGUUGAAGGUAAAAUUUAACCUAAGAUUGAAAUGAAAUGUCAUCAUUUAGGUAAACAUGAAGAAAACUCGUUAAUCACUUAAUGAAGAUUUAACUCUCUUGGCUGAACAGAAAUUUUGAAGUUCUGACUAUAGUUUAUUGAAACAAUGAUUCAAUUGUUUUGGCUUCAUUUUCUCCUCAGGACACAUUACUUUAACAGAAAUUAAAACUGUAACUUUUUAUGAGCCAGAAAAUGGACAAUAAUCAGCUUGGAUUAAACUCUCUAGAUGUUCAUU